GAUCAUGGCUCAGGAUGAACGCUGGCGGCGUGCUUAACACAUGCAAGUCGAGCGAAGCACUUAAGUUUGAUUCUUCGGAUGAAGACUUUUGUGACUGAGCGGGCGGACGGGUGAGUAACGCGUGGGUAACCUGCCUCAUACAGGGGGAUAACAGUUAGAAAUGGCUGCUAAUACCGCAUAAGACCACAGUACUGCAUGGUACAGUGGUAAAAACUCCGGUGGUAUGAGAUGGGACCCG
This 238-nucleotide ribosomal RNA is filed under the name uncultured bacterium. RNAcentral's name for it is "partial 16S ribosomal RNA". It matches the Rfam family "Bacterial small subunit ribosomal RNA", at positions 15 to 233 of the family's 1533-position model. The record is from RNAcentral.